RNAcentral lists this transfer RNA (74 nucleotides) under Nanohaloarchaea archaeon SW_7_43_1. Its description in RNAcentral is "tRNA-His". Lineage: Archaea; Methanobacteriati; Methanobacteriota; Candidatus Nanohaloarchaea. The record is from RNAcentral.
UCGGAGAUAGGUUAGCUGGUCUAUACUCCGACCUUGUGGCGGUCGGGACUCGGGUUCAAAUUCCGCCCUCAACC